UACAGAGGGUGCGAGCGUUAAUCGGAAUUACUGGGCGUAAAGCGCGCGUAGGCGGCUUUGCAAGUCGGGUGUGAAAUCCCCAGGCUUAACCUGGGAACUGCAUUCGAGACUGCAUUGCUAGAGUAUGGGAGAGUGAAGUGGAAUUUCCGGUGUAGCGGUGAAAUGCGUAGAUAUCGGAAGGAACAUCAGUGGCGAAAGCGACUUCCUGGACCAAUACUGACGCUCAUGUGCGAAAGCGUGGGGAGCAAACAGG
RNAcentral lists this ribosomal RNA (253 nucleotides) under uncultured bacterium. RNAcentral's name for it is "partial 16S ribosomal RNA". It matches the Rfam family "Bacterial small subunit ribosomal RNA", at positions 524 to 776 of the family's 1533-position model. The record is from RNAcentral.